GACGUAGGGUGCGAGCGUUGUCCGGAUUUAUUGGGCGUAAAGAGCUCGUAGGCGGCUUGUCGCGUCAACUGUGAAAACCCGUGGCUCAACCAUGUGGUCUGCAGUCGAUACGGGCAGGCUAGAAUUCGGUAGGGGAGACUGGAAUUCCUGGUGUAGCGGUGAAAUGCGCAGAUAUCAGGAGGAACACCGGUGGCGAAGGCGGGUCUCUGGGCCGAUAUUGACGCUGAGGAGCGAAAGCGUGGGGAGCGAACAGG
RNAcentral lists this ribosomal RNA (254 nucleotides) under uncultured bacterium. Its description in RNAcentral is "partial 16S ribosomal RNA". It matches the Rfam family "Bacterial small subunit ribosomal RNA", at positions 524 to 776 of the family's 1533-position model. The record is from RNAcentral.